UUGAACUGAGAAUAUAAGGGUAGAGCUUUAUAUUCAAUAAUUAAUUAAAGAUGAAUAAAUAAAAAUUGUUUAUAAAUUAGGCUUUAUAGUGGCCAUAUUUUUAAAGUAUUUUAACUAAUAAAAUAAAAAAAUUUUUAUUAUUAAUUCUCUUGAAAAUAAUUAGUAGAAUAAAUUUUAUAUUAAAAAUAGAUUAGGGAUAAUGAAAAUAUUAGUAGAAAUAUAAUUAUUAAAAUUUAAAUAAUAGGUUUAAUAAUUUUUUUUAAUAAUAAAAUAAAGAAAAAUUAAAGGAAUUCGGCAAAUUUUUUUCUUGCCUGUUUAACAAAAACAU
This 328-nucleotide ribosomal RNA is filed under the name Paramunida belone. RNAcentral describes it as "partial 16S ribosomal RNA". The record is from RNAcentral. Lineage: Eukaryota; Metazoa; Arthropoda; Malacostraca; Decapoda; Munididae.